This 311-nucleotide ribosomal RNA is filed under the name uncultured eukaryote. RNAcentral's name for it is "partial 18S ribosomal RNA". It matches the Rfam family "Eukaryotic small subunit ribosomal RNA", at positions 1470 to 1796 of the family's 1831-position model. The record is from RNAcentral.
CCCCUAGACGUUCUGGGCUGCACGCGCGCUACAAUAAUACGCACAGCGAGUAUCACCGAGCUCGAAAGGGCAAGGUAAACAAUAGAAAAGGUACUGUAAUGGUUAUAGAUCCUUGUAAUUAUUGAUCUUCAACGAGGAAUUCCUAGUAAGUACGUGUCAUCAUCACGCACUGAUUACGUCCCUGCCCUUUGUACACACCGCCCGUCGCUCCUACCGAUUGGGUGAGCCGAUGAAACUCUCGGAUGUAGGCUAUUCAUAGCCCGCAGAAGAGAUUUGAAUCGUAGCGCUUAGAGGAAGGAGAAGUCGUAACA